GCACCUGGCUCCUCUCGCUUCUGCCCUGAGAUCUGGUCCGACGAGAUCUCACCCUAGAAGAGCAGGUCUAGUUUGAGGGUGGGGGAGCUCUUCCCAUUGCAUCAUGAUUAUUAAUCAUCCGUGUCUGUCCUGGUCGCCUGGAUAGCCAAGGACAGGCGUGUGUCUUCAGGCAUCUCUGAUUCACCAAGCUUAGCACAGAGCCUUGUGGCAGCUGGCCCCGGGAAAGGCUGCGGAGGGACCGGGAGGAGUGCUCCGGCCAGGGGAACGGUGGGACAACAGGGCAUUGCCUGGAUGGGGGAGUAGAGGCUCCUUUGUUUUUUGUUGUUCCUUUUUUUUUUCUUUUUUUAAAGAUUUUACUUAUUUAUUCAUGAGAGACACAGAGAGAGGCAGAGACCCAGGCAGAGGGAGAAGCAGGCUCCACGCAGGGAGCCCCAUGCGGGACCCGAUCCCGGGCUUUCAGGGUCACCCCCUGGGCUGCAGGCAGGUGCCAAACCCUGCAUGGGAGCCCGACAUGGGACUCGAUCCCAAGACCCCGGGGUCACGCCCUGGGCCAAAGGCAGAUGCUCAACCGCUGAGCCACCCAGGGGUCCCUGUUGUUGUUCUUUUUGUUGCUAGAGAGAGAGAUGGACAGAGUGUGAGAUGGGAGGAGGGGAGAGGGAGAGGGAGACAGAGAAUCCUUAGCAGGCUCUGGGCCCAGCAUGGAGCCCAGUGUGGGGCUCAAUCUCACGACCCUGAGAUCAUGACCUGAGCUGAAAUCAGGAGUUGGCUGCCUAACCGGCUGAGCCUCUCAAGGGUUUGAGGACAUAUAUUUAUAAAAGAGGGAGGAUUGGGGUUCAACUGACUCCUCUACAGGAGGUAGACUCGAUUCCUAAGAGUUUCCUUGGAGCUUCCCUGGCCUUCCUCGGGAGGGUUGGUUCUACUUUGAAGAAAGAUGGUUUGUUUGGAAUUGGCUCUGGAUGGAGUUGGGGUCCCCUUCCUGCUCAUGUCAGCCCCAAGGUUAUAGCCUCAGUCCCUCGGGUUGGAGUCACAGGAAGGUUCAGAAGGCUUGAAUGCUGCUGCAGCGCGGCAGGAAGCCCGAAGGAAGAGCCUUGGGGGCAGUCCUCGGAGUGACCUGGAGCCCCUCCCUCUGCAGUAACCUGAUCCAAUCACUUCCCUCCGUGGCCUCAGGCCCCUCAGGAGCGGAGUGGACUGGUCGGUCGAGUAAUAGCAAGGCUUCCAGCAUUAGUGCCAUGAAUUGAAGGAGAACAGAGGUUAAGUUCGGGUGUUUUCCUGCAUCCCUACAUCCCAUCCCUAGUGGGACACAAUAGAAGACACCUCUGACCCGGGACUCUGGGGAUCAGGGCUCGUCUCGGGGACCCACUGUGGCCUGGACCCCCCGUCCCCAUCCAGGGUUUAAUGUGGAAGUGCUCUUGGCUAGGCCAGGCAGCCCUUCCACCACCUCAAAGCUCGGAAGCCUCAGUGGGUCCCAAAAUGGGGACCGACACUGAAUCUGAGGGCCAGGUCAGGGCCAGGUAAGGGAGCAUAAGAGGACUCGCCCAAGGUGGAUCUCUCAGCAGGAUGCAGCCAACCUCUUCCCAAGGCACCACCCUGCCCUCCCCUCGAGACUCAGCAGGACGAGCGGGGUCCCUCCUCGGGCCGUGGCCAACUGUGUGCAUGAGAAGCUCCCUUCCCUUCUGCAAGGGGAGCCAUUUACAGGUGUUCCAGCAACCACCCAAUGGAAGGCCCCACUGCUGGCCAGCCUCAGCCGUGACAUCCAGGUGAAGACUCCCCUGGAUCCUCUGGCCGCCCGCUGCCGAGUCACCCCCGUCUUCACGUCUUCCCAGAUGACGAGAUCGGGGACUCAGCAAGACUGGUUGGUCCAAGGCCUGGGACAACCCCAUGAUGCUGGAUUUUCUUCUGGAAUGCUUCGUGGGACCCACCCGGGGAACAGGCUUCCUGCCAAUACAUCUGCACAGAGAGGUGACCAUCGGGGCCAGGGCAGCCGGGAACGGCGCUGUUAGGAUCUCCAGCUGCGUGAGGUCCAGGCUGUGUGCGGGCCCAGCCAUGGCCAGGGGAGCCAGGUGGGCCCAGAGCGGCCUUCAGAGGCUAAGCAUACCUGCACCGGACAUCCGAAGGCGGGGGCCGACCCCAGCGUGGCCGCUCCCGGAGUCCCACCUGUGCUGUUGUUGGUCGGGGCUGCAGCCGGGCACGAACGAGUCACCCCCACCACCUUCUAGGAGUUUGCACAUCACUUGAGAGCUUGUGUAACCUCUCUUGGCUCUACCUUCCUCGUCCGUAAGAUUGAGCAAAUGUGAAAACCUGCAGCACACGGGCGCAGGACCCCCCAUGCAUCCCGGCUGAGACCAGGUGCCCCCUGUCCCCUGCAGACACGGGCUCCGCACCUCCCCUUGUCCGUGCAGCCCAGCAGACCUUCCCGCCUUGGGAGCUCAGGAGCUCUUGGGGUCUUCACCACACCUGGCUGGCAACACCGAAAGGACUAAAAACAAGUGAGCUUCCAGAAUGAAGGGAUUCAGAAGAAGAAGAAGAAAAAAGAUUCAAAUGCAGAGUGUGAUGGAGAGUUUGCAAUGAAGGGAAAACAUUUCUUAUGAAAUGUUUCUCUUCCGAGAAAGGGAGAGGAACGAGCAAGGAUUCAAUUCCGUUCUAAACUCUCCUUUCUUUUUUCCUCCAGAAGCCCCAAUCUCUUGCAGCUCCUUCUGGGGUAGCUUGUCCCCAGCUCCCGGGAUGGGCACUGGUCAGAGGGAGGUCUGGCGGUCGCAUCGGAAGGGCCACAGGUUGGGGUCCCCAUGCCGGAGACUCGCUCACCGGGGCUAAGUCUCCGUUGCUCGGGGCGGCAGGGCUCUUAGCCUCAGCUGUGCUGCGGGGGUCCCCCCGGACCCAGUCCCCUACCACUGCCCCGGGCCCUGCAUCUCCUCAACACCUUUCUCCAGAACGCCGCCUCCCGGGGUCGCUCCGGCUGACCCUUUUGCACAAACGCUCCUUCCGGAUGCCGUAUGUACCCAACGCAAUACAAGUCGGCCACCGAGAAACGAAGUCUUGCCACCUGCACCAACGUGGAUGCAGCUGGAGGGUGUUGUGCUGCGCGAAAGAGGCAGUGGUCAGCCGUGGAAUUCAGGAAGCAAAGCAGCAUCGUAGGAGCAGGGAGGGAAAAACAAAACAGGGCAAAUCGGAGAGGGAGACCACCCGUGGGAGGCUCUCGACUCGAGGACACAG
Nyctereutes procyonoides (raccoon dog) is the source of this 3210-nucleotide long non-coding RNA. RefSeq lists it as uncharacterized. The record is from RefSeq and is a predicted model, not a curated record. The transcript has 4 exons. Lineage: Eukaryota; Metazoa; Chordata; Mammalia; Carnivora; Canidae.